AAUGAACGUUGGCGGCGUGGAUUAGGCAUGCAAGUCGUACGCUCCGCAAGGGGCGUGGCGUAAGGGUGAGUAAUGCGACGGUAACCAACCCCAAGGCCGGGCAUAGCCGCGGGAAACUGCGGGUAAUUCCCGGCGAGGUCCGUGGGGGACAUCCCCUGUGGAUCAAAAGUGCGAUUCUGCCUUGGGACGGGCCGUCGUGGUAUCAGGUUGUUGGUGGGGUAACGGCCCACCAAGCCGACGACGCCUACCGGGCGUGCGAGCGUGGCCCGGCACACUGGGACUGAGACACUGCCCAGACACCUACGGGUGGCUGCAGUCGAGAAUCUUCGGCAAUGGGCGAAAGCCUGACCGAGCGACGCCGCGUGGAGGAUGAAGGCCUUCGGGUUGUAAACUCCUGUCGAGGGGGACUAAGGUGCUGUGAAGAACAGCGCUUGAGGUAUCCCUGGAGGAAGCACGGGCUAAGUUCGUGCCAGCAGCCGCCGUAAAAC
This 488-nucleotide ribosomal RNA is filed under the name uncultured bacterium. Its description in RNAcentral is "bacterial SSU rRNA". It matches the Rfam family "Bacterial small subunit ribosomal RNA", at positions 28 to 526 of the family's 1533-position model. The record is from RNAcentral.